Leptonychotes weddellii (Weddell seal) is the source of this 624-nucleotide non-coding RNA. NCBI's taxonomy places the organism in Eukaryota, Metazoa, Chordata, Mammalia, Carnivora, Phocidae. The record is from RefSeq and is a predicted model, not a curated record.
ACCCGCACCUCUGCAGGAGGCCGCAGCCAGACCCGCGCCGGAACCAUGUUUCGCAACCAGUAUGACAAUGAUGUCACUGUUUGGAGCCCUCAGGGCAGGAUUCAUCAAAUUGAGUAUGCAAUGGAAGCUGUCAAGCAAGGUUCAGCCACAGUUGGUCUGAAAUCAAAAACCCAUGCAGUGUUGGUUGCAUUGAAGAGAGCACAGUCAGAGCUUGCAGCUCAUCAGAAAAAAAUUCUCCAUGUUGACAACCAUAUUGGUAUCUCAAUUGCGGGACUUACUGCUGAUGCUAGACUGUUAUGUAAUUUUAUGUGCCAAGAGUGUUUGGAUUCCAGAUUUGUAUUUGACAGACCUCUUCCUGUGUCUCGUCUUGUAUCUCUGAUUGGAAGCAAGACCCAGAUACCAACACAACGAUAUGGCCGGAGACCAUAUGGUGUUGGGCUGCUUAUUGCUGGUUAUGAUGAUAUGGGCCCUCACAUUUUCCAAACCUGUCCAUCUGCCAACUAUUUUGACUGUAGAGCCAUGUCCAUUGGAGGCAGUAAUUCUGACAAGAGCCUGUUAGAUACUGGUGAGUUUGAAGCUGAAGCAAUGGGGAAAUUAGAACAACUUGGAAGAACUUCAAACUGA